GAUGAACGCUGGCGGCGUGCCUAAUACAUGCAAGUCGAGCGAACAGACGAGGAGCUUGCUCCUCUGACGUUAGCGGCGGACGGGUGAGAAACACGUGGAUAACCUACCUAUAAGACUGGGAUAACUUCGGGAAACCGGAGCUAAUACAGGCGAAUAUAUUGAACCGCAUGGUUCAAUAGUGACAGCCGGCUUUGCUGUCGCUUAUAGAUGGAUCCGCGCCGCAUUAGCUAGUUGGUAAGGUAACGGCUUACCAAGGCAACGAUGCGUAGCCGACCUGAGAGGGUGAUCAGCCACACUGGAACUGAGACACGGUCCAGACUCCUACGGGAGGCAGCAGUGGGGAAUCUUCCACAAUGGGCGAAAGCUUGACGGAGCAACGCCGCGUGAGUGAUGAAGGUCUUCGGAUCGUAAAGCUCUGUUAUUAGGGAAGAACAAAUGUGUAAUUAACUAUGCACGUCUUGACGGUACCUAAUCAGAAAGCCACGGCUAACUACGUG
Molecule: ribosomal RNA, 497 nt
Filed under: uncultured bacterium
Lineage: Bacteria
Description: partial 16S ribosomal RNA
Rfam family: Bacterial small subunit ribosomal RNA
Source: RNAcentral